This 194-nucleotide non-coding RNA is filed under the name Syntrophobacter fumaroxidans. RNAcentral also lists the same sequence under 1 other name. The record is from RNAcentral. Lineage: Bacteria; Pseudomonadati; Thermodesulfobacteriota; Syntrophobacteria; Syntrophobacterales; Syntrophobacteraceae.
UGAAAUUAUACAGGCACAGGUAUCCAAUAUUGGGGAUUCAAAAGGGAAGACGGUGAGAUGCCGUCGCGGUCCCGCCGCUGUAAACGGGGACGAAAACCGCCGGUUUGCCACUGGUCCGGAAUCAACGGGCCGGGAAGGCGUGGUGAGUAGGCUGAUCCGUGAGCCAGAAAACCUGCCUGCGCCUCAGGGGUUCU